AACGAACGCUGGCGGCAUGCCUAACACAUGCAAGUCGAACGAGACCUUCGGGUCUAGUGGCGCACGGGUGCGUAACGCGUGGGAACCUGCCCUUAGGUUCGGAAUAACUCCCCGAAAGGGGUGCUAAUACCGGAUAAUGUCUUCGGACCAAAGAUUUAUCGCCUUUGGAUGGGCCCGCGUUGGAUUAGCUAGUUGGUAGGGUAAAAGCCUACCAAGGCGACGAUCCAUAGCUGGUCUGAGAGGAUGAUCAGCCACACUGGGACUGAGACACGGCCCAGACUCCUACGGGAGGCAGCAGUGGGGAAUAUUGGAGAAUGGGCGAAAGCCUGAUCCAGCAAUGCCGCGUGAGUGAUGAAGGCCUUAGGGUUGUAAAGCUCUUUUACCCGGGAUGAUAAUGACAGUACCGGGAGAAUAAGCGCCGGCUAACUCCGUG
RNAcentral lists this ribosomal RNA (433 nucleotides) under uncultured bacterium. RNAcentral's name for it is "partial 16S ribosomal RNA". It matches the Rfam family "Bacterial small subunit ribosomal RNA", at positions 29 to 507 of the family's 1533-position model. The record is from RNAcentral.